Molecule: ribosomal RNA, 22 nt
Filed under: Harrisia fragrans
Lineage: Eukaryota; Viridiplantae; Streptophyta; Magnoliopsida; Caryophyllales; Cactaceae
Source: RNAcentral
CGUGCGAUCAUACCAGCACUAC